Molecule: ribosomal RNA, 538 nt
Filed under: Escherichia coli
Lineage: Bacteria; Pseudomonadati; Pseudomonadota; Gammaproteobacteria; Enterobacterales; Enterobacteriaceae
Description: bacterial SSU rRNA
Rfam family: Bacterial small subunit ribosomal RNA
Source: RNAcentral
GGGCAACACGAGCGGGGCGCAUAUGGCUUAUUUUGUUGAACGCGAGGACGCUACCUGGUCUCGACAUCCCCCGGAAGUUUUCAGAGAUGGGAAUGUGCCUUCGGGAACUGUGAGACAGGUGCUGCAUGGCUGUCGUCAGCUCGUGUUGUGAAAUGUUGGGUUAAGUCCCGCAACGAGCGCAACCCUUAUCCUUUGUUGCCAGCGGUCCGGCCGGGAACUCAAAGGAGACUGCCAGUGAUAAACUGGAGGAAGGUGGGGAUGACGUCAAGUCAUCAUGGCCCUUACGACCAGGGCUACACACGUGCUACAAUGGCGCAUACAAAGAGAAGCGACCUCGCGAGAGCAAGCGGACCUCAUAAAGUGCGUCGUAGUCCGGAUUGGAGUCUGCAACUCGACUCCAUGAAGUCGGAAUCGCUAGUAAUCGUGGAUCAGAAUGCCACGGUGAAUACGUUCCCGGGCCUUGUACACACCGCCCGUCACACCAUGGGAGUGGGUUGCAAAAGAAGUAGGUAGCUAACCUUCGGAGGGCGCUUACCAC